RNAcentral lists this ribosomal RNA (428 nucleotides) under uncultured bacterium. RNAcentral's name for it is "partial 16S ribosomal RNA". It matches the Rfam family "Bacterial small subunit ribosomal RNA", at positions 354 to 796 of the family's 1533-position model. The record is from RNAcentral.
GUGGGGAAUAUUGGGCAAUGGGGGAAACCCUGACCCAGCAACGCCGCGUGAGGGAAGAAGGUUUUCGGAUUGUAAACCUCUGUCCUUGGUGACGAAGGAAGUGACGGUAACCAAGGAGGAAGCCCCGGCUAACUACGUGCCAGCAGCCGCGGUAAUACGUAGGGGGCAAGCGUUGUCCGGAAUGACUGGGCGUAAAGGGCGUGUAGGCGGCCGAUUAAGUCUGGAGUGAAAGUCCUGGUUUCAAGGUGGGAAUUGCUUUGGAGACUGGUUGGCUUGAGUGCGGAAGAGGUAAGUGGAAUUCCCAGUGUAGCGGUGAAAUGCGUAGAGAUUGGGAGGAACACCAGUGGCGAAGGCGACUUACUGGGCCGUAACUGACGCUGAGGCGCGAAAGCGUGGGGAGCGAACAGGAUUAGAAACCCUUGUAGUCC